Molecule: ribosomal RNA, 110 nt
Filed under: Scedosporium apiospermum
Lineage: Eukaryota; Fungi; Ascomycota; Sordariomycetes; Microascales; Microascaceae
Description: partial 5.8S ribosomal RNA
Rfam family: 5.8S ribosomal RNA
About the family: 5.8S ribosomal RNA (5.8S rRNA) is a component of the large subunit of the eukaryotic ribosome. It is transcribed by RNA polymerase I as part of the 45S precursor that also contains 18S and 28S rRNA. Functionally, it is thought that 5.8S rRNA may be involved in ribosome translocation.
Source: RNAcentral
AACUUUCAACAACGGAUCUCUUGGUUCUGGCAUCGAUGAAGAACGCAGCGAAAUGCGAUAAGUAAUGUGAAUUGCAGAAUUCAGUGAAUCAUCGAAUCUUUGAACGCACA